CUCGACCGCCUCCCGGAUGAGAUCGUGGCGUGUGAGAUCCUUGUCCGCCUUCCAGCCAGGGACAUCCUCCGCUGCCGCGCGGUUUGUCGCUACUGGCUCCGCCUCGCCUCUGCCCCUGAUUUCCUGCUAGCCCAUCACCGGCGCCAGCCGUCGCUCCCCCUGGUCGCGCUCUACCGCACAUUCUGUACAAGUAGAGCGGAUGGCCUCCCAAUGUGCGGCCGUGGCCGGCCCAUCGUCGUGUUCGACGACUACAACAACAAUCGUAGUGGCUUCAAGCUGCACGCCUCCUGUGACGGCCUCCUCCUGCUCAGCCGAUCUAACGAGAGCUUCAGCAUCUGCAACCCAGCCACGCGUCAGUGCGCUCCCCUCCGAAACCUCACCACCGCUGGCCACAUCAAAAUUGUGAUAGCCGCGUUAUACCUCCACCACACGUCAGGUGAGUACCGUGUCCUCUACUGGAAAAAGAGACACUGGAAAGGGAAUGAACGAGUGAAAGAAGCUUCCUGCUACAUCCUUACGGUGCGGCGGAGAGGCUCGCCGAGGUGCAUCCGAGUUCCUUCGGAGAUCCCUGCCAUUAAGAAAUCUAUGAUAGCUGCGAACGUGAUGACCACUAUUAAUGUGGCCCCACCCAUCAUGUUUCGCAACUGCCUGCAUUGGGAACCUAGCUGGCUUCGCUAUGAUGUCGGGGACAUAGUCGUUUUCAACACAGUGGCUGAGUCAUUCAGAUCCAUGUGCUGCCCGCCUGGUGCUACCAGUUCCUGCACUCGCUUGUGCGACCUGGAAGGUUCGAUCGGCUUCAGUUGCUUCGACGAUCGGAGGACAAUCGUCAGAGUCUGGGUGGUAGAGGACUAUGAGAGGGAGGUAUGGGCAUUCAAGUACCAUGUUAAAUUCCCCAUGGAGAGCUUGUACCACUUGACAGAUACACGGCAUUUCAUUUUCUCCGACAAGGGAGAUGUGCUCGUCUAUAGUAUAUACGCACGUUACAUGUUCCAUUGUGACAGUACUGGCAAGUUUCUAGACGAAUUCCAAUGGAAUCAUGAGUCACAAGGUUUGAGCAUUAUUGGGCAUAGGUUCAAAGAAAGCCUUGUCGACCAUAAGUUCUUUGCAAGGCGAGAA
RNAcentral lists this ribosomal RNA (1116 nucleotides) under Triticum aestivum (bread wheat). RNAcentral's name for it is "partial small subunit ribosomal RNA". The record is from RNAcentral. Lineage: Eukaryota; Viridiplantae; Streptophyta; Magnoliopsida; Poales; Poaceae.